RNAcentral lists this ribosomal RNA (444 nucleotides) under uncultured bacterium. RNAcentral's name for it is "bacterial SSU rRNA". It matches the Rfam family "Bacterial small subunit ribosomal RNA", at positions 355 to 796 of the family's 1533-position model. The record is from RNAcentral.
UGAGGAAUAUUGCGCAAUGGAGGAAACUCUGACGCAGCCAUGCCGCGUGCAGGAAGAAGGCGCUACGCGUUGUAAACUGCUUUUAACCGGGAAGAAACCCCAGGACGUGUCCUGGGUUGACGGUACCGGAGGAAUAAGCACCGGCUAACUUCGUGCCAGCAGCCGCGGUAAUACGAAGGGUGCAAGCGUUAUCCGGAUUCAUUGGGUUUAAAGGGUGCGUAGGCGGGGCAAUAAGUCAGUGGUGAAAUCCUGCGGCUUAACCGUAGAAUUGCCAUUGAUACUGUUGCUCUUGAGUAGGCUCGACGUGGGCGGAAUGUGCCGUGUAGCGGUGAAAUGCUUAGAUAUGGCACAGAACACCGAUAGUGAAGACAGCUCACGAGGGCCAAACUGACGCUGAGGCACGAAAGCGUGGGGAUCGAACAGGAUUAGAUACCCCCGUAGUCC